RNAcentral lists this ribosomal RNA (464 nucleotides) under uncultured bacterium. Its description in RNAcentral is "partial 16S ribosomal RNA". It matches the Rfam family "Bacterial small subunit ribosomal RNA", at positions 28 to 507 of the family's 1533-position model. The record is from RNAcentral.
GACGAACGCUGGCGGCGUGCUUAACACAUGCAAGUCGAACGGAAAGGCCCCUUUGGGGGUACUCGAGUGGCGAACGGGUGAGUAACACGUGAGUAACCUGCCCUUGACUUCGGGAUAACUUCAGGAAACUGGGGCUAAUACCGGAUAGGAAUCCUUGCUGCAUGGUGGGGGUUGGAAAGCUUCGGCGGUUUUGGAUGGACUCGCGGCUUAUCAGCUUGUUGGUGGGGUAGUGGCUUACCAAGGCUUUGACGGGUAGCCGGCCUGAGAGGGCGACCGGCACAUUGGGACUGAGAUACGGCCCAGACUCCUACGGGAGGCAGCAGUGGGGAAUAUUGCACAAUGGGCGGAAGCCUGAUGCAGCAACGCCGCGUGCGGGAUGACGGCCUUCGGGUUGUAAACCGCUUUCAGCAGGGGCGAAGCUUGUGGUGACGGUACCUGCAGAAGAAGCACCGGCUAACUACGUG